CUUGGCAGAGCUACAUUUCCUGGGCCGCCGUCCAUGCAGGCUGCGUUUACUGACCUAUAGUAACUUUCAACAGCUUCCCUGGUUCAGGACGGUGGCAGCACGGCUAACGGCUAACGGCUAGCAGCAGACAGUUCAGUUCCCUUACACUAUGAUGCGUUCAGGCUCUGUUCAGUGAAAAUGAGUAUUGGGCUAAGCAUACACUCCCUACCAAGGAAAAUCAUUUCAGCUGAGUGAUAAGGAGUUCCCGUCCUGUCACAAGGGACCUGAACGCCUCCCUGGAAAGAGGAAGUUGGCAGAGUUCCCGGCGGGGUCCCGAGGUCACAGCGCAGCGUCGAGGAGCGGCGCUCGAUGACAUGAAGCAACCACUCGAACGUGACUCCUACACCUGCGGCGAGGGUCCAAAGUUCAGCCUGCACACGCUCAGUGAGGCCCAGAAUAGAUGAAACAAUAGGUGGCUGACGUUUCCGUCAGUCAUUAUUCACGUCGCAGAGGGCGUAUGAAUCUGUAUAACGCGCUUGUAAGUGUAACGCUACAUGCUUUAAAUACUGUAUUGAGCUAUUCACAUGUUUUACAACCUAUACUUCCAGCCUCUCCUGUAGACCAGCAGCCUGCAGUUCAUCACAUGUGAUGUGUUCAAGGGCCGUCUGAAAGAUGAAAAUGUGAUCACGACAUGUGCUGAUACAUCAUGGCGAUUGUUUAAAGAAACAACACGUGGGUUUUUAUGUUCAACCAACACGUUUUAAUUUAUUUGGCCACAAUCUGUGAUAGAUCCGCUAAAAAAAAAGAACCGGGGAAACAUAAACCCAAGAUAAACUUUUACUUGCAACGAAUAUGUGCUCAGAUAACUAGCUCUAACGAUUCUGAAACAUUUUUUUUACAGAUAAAACGUCACGCUGAAACGUCGCCUCGGCAACAAGCUGAACGAAUCUAGCUCGCAAAAUGAAAAUGGUUUUCUGAUACAUUUUGGGAUGGCGUUACUCUACGGCACCACGUGGGCUACAGAUCAUCGUGGCGUUGUCGCGGCUGCUCUCGAAGUCGCAGUACGAUACACGCCGCCGGCGUUGCAGGCAGGCUUUGUUUGCAUGGGUGUGUGUCAGCGCAUUGCCAGUCACGUGUCUUUACACGCGCUUAUGACUCGUACCUUUUGCAUCAAUUUGAAACCUCAGCAAAAACAUGCAUACGUUGGCCAAAAUCCUUUGUAAUGGCCCACUCAAAGUCAAGGAGAGAUCGGAAGAUGGUAUCACAAAUUAACAUGUAUUUACCACAACUGCAAAGGUGACCACGUCUUGAUUUGAUAUGUAUGGACGUCUUCUAGGGGUGUGCAUCACUCCGUCUCAGAUAAAUCAAUGUGUGUCUGAGUCGGGCUCCUUUCCUCCCCAUGCCGCUUGCUAUUAUCAUCUGCUUGUAUUCUGGCCUUUUGUUUGAGAACACACAGUCGUUAUUCUGCAGCUUGAGUGUGGAGCGGCUAUAUGCUCAAAGGGCCUACAUGUGCCUUCUUUGAGGAUUCCCACGCAUCAGUGUUUGUCUUGCAACAGGACAAACCGCUCUUGGAGACUCCAGACCGCACGCCUCUCACAGACAGACUGAGAGUCGGCUUGUGUGUGUGCGCUCUCUUUUUGUGUCAGUUAACAGCGAUAAGUACCAGCGGAUGUUGGCGGCGUGACGAUGGUGCAGUCGAUCCGUUUGGCUCGCAUGUGGACCGCGGGUAAACUACACGGUGUCACGUACAGUGGGAAUUCAAGUUUUACUGACGAUAUUCAGUCAAAUAUGCUCAAAUAGGCUUUCUGUUCAAUAAUCUCUGAUAACGUUACAUUGUAAACAACCAGCCCGUGUGGAAAUCGGGUAACGGACAACGAAUGAAUGUUCGGUUACAUUAUGAUGCGUUUGUGAAAAACUUGAAUGAAUACAAUUGUUUGAAGGGGAUGUUUUUACAACAACAUAAAUGGAUAUUAGAGAAAUUAUUAUUAUUAUGAUCUCACUCUAAUAAUAAAUCAUUAAAACUACUAACGACAAAAUUUGUUUUAAUCUAUAAAAAUGCAAUUGUUUAUUUCCUUCGCAUUUUAA
Cyclopterus lumpus (lumpfish) is the source of this 2064-nucleotide long non-coding RNA. RefSeq lists it as uncharacterized. The transcript is spliced from 3 exons. NCBI's taxonomy places the organism in Eukaryota, Metazoa, Chordata, Actinopteri, Perciformes, Cyclopteridae. The record is from RefSeq and is a predicted model, not a curated record.